UCUUCUGUCCGGUGAGGCGCAGAGGAAGAAGGGACUUCCCGUUUUUGUUCGUGCUGGGUUGGUGCCUCUUCGGCAUUAACAGCCGGAUCGGAGGAAGGCAACGCUGAGUUUACCUCGUUUUCGUCCCCCUCUAGAGAAUCCAGACAGCGACGGAAGUCCUCGGCAGAAUCGAGGGACGACUGUCCAGCGGAAAUGGGAACGUUUCCGAACGAAUCUGGCGACAUUGCAGAAAGAAGCCCAGUACUUCCCUCCCC
This 254-nucleotide long non-coding RNA is filed under the name Olea europaea (common olive). RNAcentral describes it as "long non-coding RNA (OEUR_LNC014051)". The record is from RNAcentral. Lineage: Eukaryota; Viridiplantae; Streptophyta; Magnoliopsida; Lamiales; Oleaceae.